RNAcentral lists this ribosomal RNA (253 nucleotides) under uncultured bacterium. RNAcentral describes it as "partial 16S ribosomal RNA". It matches the Rfam family "Bacterial small subunit ribosomal RNA", at positions 524 to 776 of the family's 1533-position model. The record is from RNAcentral.
UACGUAGGGUGCAAGCGUUAAUCGGAAUUACUGGGCGUAAAGCGUACGCAGGCGGCUUUGCAAGACAGGUGUGAAAUCCCCAGGCUUAACCUGGGAACUGCGUCUGAUACUGGAUGGCUUGAAUUCGGGAGAGGGAUGCAGAAUUCCAGGUGUAGCGGUGAAAUGCGUAGAUAUCUGGAGGAAUACCGGUGGCGAAGGCGGCAUCCUGGACCGAGAUUGACGCUGAUGAGCGAAAGCUAGGGGAGCAAACCGG